GAUGAACGCUGGCGGCGUGCUUAACACACGCAAGUCGAACGAAGCGCUUUUGCUCGAUUCUUCGGAUGAUGGUGAGAGUGACUGAGUGGCGGACGGGUGAGUAACGCGUGGGUAACCUGCCUCAUACAGGGGAUAACAGUUAGAAAUGACUGCUAAUACCGCAUAGGACCACGGAGUCGCAUGACUCAGUGGGAAAAACUCCGGUGGUAUGAGAUGGACCCGCGUCUGAUUAGGUAGUUGGUGGGGUAACGGCCUACCAAGCCGACGAUCAGUAGCCGACCUGAGAGGGUGACCGGCCACAUUGGGACUGAGACACGGCCAAACUCCUACGGGAGGCAGCAGUGGGGAAUAUUGCACAAUGGGGAAAACCCUGAUGCAGCGACGCCGCGUGAGCGAAGAAGUAAUUUCGGUAUGUAAAAGCUCUAUCAGCAGGGAAGAAAAUGACGGUACCUGACUAAGAAGCAACCGGCUAAAAUACGUGCCAG
RNAcentral lists this ribosomal RNA (485 nucleotides) under uncultured bacterium. Its description in RNAcentral is "bacterial SSU rRNA". It matches the Rfam family "Bacterial small subunit ribosomal RNA", at positions 28 to 511 of the family's 1533-position model. The record is from RNAcentral.